Molecule: long non-coding RNA, 581 nt
Filed under: Homo sapiens (human)
Lineage: Eukaryota; Metazoa; Chordata; Mammalia; Primates; Hominidae
Description: HSALNT0138182
Source: RNAcentral
CUGAUGAUUGAUGAACAAAGGCACUGAAGCGUGAAAUAGCUGUGUGUGUGUGUGCACAUGUGUUUACUAAUAACUAAAAUGUAAAAUAGGAAGUGGUGGAGGGCAGUGACAUAGGAAGAGGGUUCAUAAAUCAAGUUAAGGGGUUAGACUUCAUCCUUAGAUCAUGGGAUACCACUGAAGGGAUUUGAGCAAGUAUGUUAUAUCUUCAGGUUUGCAUUUUUUGAUAGGUUACUUGGGUGCAGCCAAUACUGAAGGCUGGGGAAACUGUCAAGGCUACAAAUUAUAAGGGCUGAUGCCUAAGCUCCUUUCUAGGCGUCUGCAGCACAGCAAUGCUCUCUCUACCAUUAAUGAUGACCGCUGAUGAACCUGUAUUUGACCAGCAUACUCCAAUCUUUAUCGGAAAUGUCUGGACCAACCGUCCUUACUAAAUCUAAAGACAGCCAUUUGUCAUCCUUCUGACUGCCUGUCAUCAUCUGCCUGGGAAAAUCUAUAAUUUUUGGCUUGUUCCUGACUCAACUGUGCAAUGAAUAAAUUUAUCUUUGGGUCACUCUGCUUGUCAGGAUCAAUAUUGAGCAGAGGUU